GAUGAACGCUGGCGGCGUGCCUAAUACAUGCAAGUCGAGCGAACGGACGAGAAGCUUGCUUCUCUGAUGUUAGCGGCGGACGGGUGAGUAACACGUGGAUAACCUACCUAUAAGACUGGGAUAACUUCGGGAAACCGUAGCUAAUACCGGAUAAUAUUUUGAACCGCAUGGUUCAAAAGUGAAAGACGGUCUUGCUGUCACUUAUAGAUGGAUCCGCGCUGCAUUAGCUAGUUGGUAAGGUAACGGCUUACCAAGGCAACGAUGCAUAGCCGACCUGAGAGGGUGAUCGGCCACACUGGAACUGAGACACGGUCCAGACUCCUACGGGAGGCAGCAGUAGGGAAUCUUCCGCAAUGGGCGAAAGCCUGACGGAGCAACGCCGCGUGAGUGAUGAAGGUCUUCGGAUCGUAAAACUCUGUUAUUAGGGAAGAACAUAUGUGUAAGUAACUGUGCACAUCUUGACGGUACCUAAUCAGAAAGCCACGGCUAACUACGUGCCAGCAGCCGCGGUAAUACGUAGGUGGCAAGCGUUAUCCGGAAUUAUUGGGCGUAAAGCGCGCGUAGGCGGUUUUUUAAGUCUGAUGUGAAAGCCCACGGCUCAACCGUGGAGGGUCAUUGGAAACUGGAAAACUUGAGUGCAGAAGAGGAAAGUGGAAUUCCAUGUGUAGCGGUGAAAUGCGCAGAGAUAUGGAGGAACACCAGUGGCGAAGGCGACUUUCUGGUCUGUAACUGACGCUGAUGUGCGAAAGCGUGGGGAUCAAACAGGAUUAGAUACCCUGGUAGUCCACGCCGUAAACGAUGAGUGCUAAGUGUUAGGGGGUUUCCGCCCCUUAGUGCUGCAGCUAACGCAUUAAGCACUCCGCCUGGGGAGUACGACCGCAAGGUUGAAACUCAAAGGGAUUGACGGGGACCCGCACAAGCGGUGGAGCAUGUGGUUUAAUUCGAAGCAACGCGAAGAACCUUACCAAAUCUUGACAUCCUUUGACAACUCUAGAGAUAGAGCCUUCCCCUUCGGGGGACAAAGUGACAGGUGGUGCAUGGUUGUCGUCAGCUCGUGUCGUGAGAUGUUGGGUUAAGUCCCGCAACGAGCGCAACCCUUAAGCUUAGUUGCCAUCAUUAAGUUGGGCACUCUAAGUUGACUGCCGGUGACAAACCGGAGGAAGGUGGGGAUGACGUCAAAUCAUCAUGCCCCUUAUGAUUUGGGCUACACACGUGCUACAAUGGACAAUACAAAGGGCAGCGAAACCGCGAGGUCAAGCAAAUCCCAUAAAGUUGUUCUCAGUUCGGAUUGUAGUCUGCAACUCGACUACAUGAAGCUGGAAUCGCUAGUAAUCGUAGAUCAGCAUGCUACGGUGAAUACGUUCCCGGGUCU
This 1372-nucleotide ribosomal RNA is filed under the name uncultured bacterium. RNAcentral's name for it is "bacterial SSU rRNA". It matches the Rfam family "Bacterial small subunit ribosomal RNA", at positions 28 to 1381 of the family's 1533-position model. The record is from RNAcentral.